RNAcentral lists this ribosomal RNA (496 nucleotides) under uncultured Gammaproteobacteria bacterium. RNAcentral's name for it is "bacterial SSU rRNA". It matches the Rfam family "Bacterial small subunit ribosomal RNA", at positions 64 to 556 of the family's 1533-position model. The record is from RNAcentral. Lineage: Bacteria; Pseudomonadati; Pseudomonadota; Gammaproteobacteria.
AAACGGUACAGGAUGUGCUUGCACAUCGCUAGACGAGUGGCGGACGGGUGAGUAAUGCUUAGGGAUCUGCCUCUGUGUGGGGGAUAACUAUUGGAAACGAUAGCUAAUACCGCAUAAUGUUUACGGACCAAAGGGGGCGUUUGCUCCCGCGCAGAGAGGAACCUAAGUGAGAUUAGCUAGUUGGUAAGGUAAUGGCUUACCAAGGCGACGAUCUCUAGCUGUUCUGAGAGGAAGAUCAGCCACACUGGGACUGAGACACGGCCCAGACUCCUACGGGAGGCAGCAGUGGGGAAUAUUGCACAAUGGGGGGAACCCUGAUGCAGCCAUGCCGCGUGUGUGAAGAAGGCCUUCGGGUUGUAAAGCACUUUCAGUUGUGAGGAAAGGUUAGAUAGUUAAUACCUGCUAGCUGUGACGUUAGCAACAGAAGAAGCACCGGCUAACUCCGUGCCAGCAGCCGCGGUAAUACGGAGGGUGCGAGCGUUAAUCGGAAUUACUG